RNAcentral lists this long non-coding RNA (854 nucleotides) under Arabidopsis thaliana (thale cress). Its description in RNAcentral is "long non-coding RNA (ATHA_LNC000404)". The record is from RNAcentral. Lineage: Eukaryota; Viridiplantae; Streptophyta; Magnoliopsida; Brassicales; Brassicaceae.
GUGGAAGAUGAUGUGAGAUUUGGAGAAUCUGCGACGGCAUUUUUUCUCACUUCCUCCUGAUCCGUUUUUUCAGCUAUUUUUAGGUUUUCAAUUAAAUUGGCGACGAAACCGGAACUGUAUUUUGAGCACAAAAGUAACUAGGAGGAGAUGCAAUUCAGAACAAAAAGUUACUGUGUCAGUCUUGUUCUCUUAACCACCAGGGAACCAAUCGAAUCCCCUUCAGCUGCUGAUUUUUGUAUUACUAGAAUCUAGUUUCUUUAUAUCUGGUUAGAUGUUAACGUUAAUGUUUAUUCAGCUGCUGAUUUUUGUUUUGGUUACUACGGUUUAAGUUAUUUGUUGAUGAGAAUGUGUGAGGGUUUUAGUUUUAGUUGAUAAGAUUGUUAGGAUUGGAUUUAGCUACUUUGAGAUUGAUUUGACUCUACUUUCACUUUUAGACCCUGAAAGCAAGAGAGAGCUGAAAUGAUGGUCUUGUGGGGAUUGAAGAUUUGAUUAUGAUUAGUUCAUAUCCUUUCCCUUAUGGUAGCUUUUAUUGAAUAACCUGUUCAGGAGGAACUUGAUGAGAGUAAGCAGGCAGAGCAAAACCUACAUGAUGCUUCUUCUUCUAAGGAGAAAGCUCUUCUGAGGUCGUGUAGCAGCAAGCUUCCCCAUCAAGGACCGUCUUUGUUGGGAAUCUGCCAGUAAUCCAACAAAUUAAUCCAGCUUUUAUGUAAGUGCUAACAUUAUUGAGUUCACGCAAACAAAAGUUUUCUUGAACUAACAUUUUGUUUAUAUAAUCUAUAUUUAGUGAGAGUAUUCUUCAAUAAAGUAGUUGGGGAUGUUGUUGAGGUUCGAAUGGCGCGUUUGGCUAAUGGCAG